AUGUUAAUUAAUGAUGAUUUAGUUUUGUUUUGUGGAGUUACAUAAGAGGCACAUGAGACUAUUAUGAGUUAUAUAAAUCAACUGUCGAACAAAGCUUCCUCUAUAGAUUUCACAAAUCAAGCUACCAGUAAACCCAUCCCACAAAUCAAGUUCUCAUUUAUUGCAAAGAAAAAACAAUGCAAAUAGAAUUUGUACAAUAGUUUCCUGUCGAACCAGAAAACAAGAUAAUGACAGAAGCAUCACUCCAUGUAUUUGCUGACAUUGCUGUGGCCUAGAAAAUUUACAAACGCCGGAUCAUAACAAUUAAUAGAUCAUAGAUGUCACAGUUUCACAUAUUCCAUCAGACCAGUGAAGUCAAACCGGUUUUGAGUUCUUACCUGAAUUGUUCUUCAGACCAGAAACCAAAAGGAAGCAGUGGGUCGUUCGGCUUGGUAUCAGCAGUUAAUGGCAAUUGGAAUUGGUCAACUUCCCCUCAAAUUCAUAAUCUCCACAGGAAGCCAAGAAGAGCCUCAGUCUUUUCAAGAACAAAGUAACCAUAGGCCUUUCUCAGGAUCUACAUCCAGAUUGUGCCCUUGUACCUUUGGUUCCCUGUUAUCAUAUGUCGUUUGCCAAAGAUAUGAGUUGUCCA
This 628-nucleotide long non-coding RNA is filed under the name Capsella rubella. RNAcentral describes it as "long non-coding RNA (CRUB_LNC002728)". Lineage: Eukaryota; Viridiplantae; Streptophyta; Magnoliopsida; Brassicales; Brassicaceae. The record is from RNAcentral.